GAUGAACGCUAGCGGGAGGCUUAACACAUGCAAGUCGAACGGUAUCAGCAAUGAUAUAGUGGCGCACGGGUGAGUAACGCGUAUGCAACCUACCUUGUACAGGGGGAUAGCUUGGGGAAACCCAGGGUAACACCGCGUAAGCUCUUUGGAUGGCAUCAUUUGGAGAGGGAAUCUACGGAGGUACAAGAUGGGCAUGCGUUCCAUUAGCUAGUUGGUGGGUAACGCCCACAAGGCGACGAUGGAUAGGAGGUCUAAAAGGAUGGUCUCCCACACUGGUACUGAGACACGGACCAGACUCCUACGGGAGGCAGCAGUGAGGAAUAUUGGUCAAUGGGCGCAGGCCUGAACCAGCCAUGCCGCGUGAAGGAGAAGGCCUUAAGGGUCG
This 385-nucleotide ribosomal RNA is filed under the name uncultured bacterium. Its description in RNAcentral is "bacterial SSU rRNA". It matches the Rfam family "Bacterial small subunit ribosomal RNA", at positions 28 to 425 of the family's 1533-position model. The record is from RNAcentral.